Long non-coding RNA from Carassius auratus (goldfish), 3573 nucleotides. The record is from Ensembl. NCBI's taxonomy places the organism in Eukaryota, Metazoa, Chordata, Actinopteri, Cypriniformes, Cyprinidae.
AUGCAAAAACAGUGUGAUUUUAUAUAUAUAUAUAUAUAUAUAUAUAUAUAUAUAUAUAUAUAUAUAUAUAUAUAUGUCUGUAUGUGUGUAUAUGUAUAUAUAUAUAUAUAUAUAUAUAUAUAUAUAUAUAUAUAUAUAUGUAUGUAUGUAUAUGUUAAUAUUUUAUUGAAACCAUUGAUGUCCCUCUUUGCAGAACUCAAACUAAGUUUAAGGACACACAAGUCUGCUUGUGUGAGGAGGUGGUUUUCUCAGCUUCUUCUGAAGAGAGGGAAAGAUAGUUUAAGAUGUUAAAAGCAAGAGACAUGGGAGAGCGUCAUUCCUUUGAGAUUUUAUAACUCAAACCAACUUUGGAGUUGUCUGAUUUGGAGAGUCAUCAUUCUUGGUCUUCGCUCUUAGAGGUAAAGUUCACACAAAAAAUCAUUUACUUGCCCUCAAGUCAUUCCAAACCUAUAAGACUUUUGUCUGUCUUUACAACAUAAAUUAAUAUAUUUUUAGUUUUCUCAUAAUAUUUGUUAAUCCAUUUAUAGUUUAGAUAAUCAGUAUUUUCAAGCUUCAUAAAUAUAGAGUUAUUGUAGAAGUAAAUUCUGGUAUUUAUAUAUGAAUACAUCUUAAAUUAUAUGAUAGCAAACAUGUGUGUUCAAAAUAAAAUACUGGUCUCCCAGACCAGCAAUGGAGGACACAAAAAGAGAAUAUUAAAUAUAUUCAUACCUUUUCCAAAAAAUGAGCAGAGUUUGUAUGAGUCUGGAAAAACAUGAGGAGAGUAAAUUAUAAACAUUUUAAUUAUUUGUUGAACUAACGGUUUGAAGAGCAGCCCUCCAUGUACAUGAAUAUUGUGAGGUAUGUGAAUGUCAUGUCUGUUUUAAUGUUUCAGUAAAGAAGCUUUCUGAAAGCAAUAUUUAUUCAAACAAUAUCGCAUGUCCUCACACUAGUGCUGCCAUUAUAGCCUCCUGGAGCGCUGUGGUGGACUGAGACAUUAAACAACCGCACAAAGUGUUGAAACUUUAAAACCGAUUAUUUUCCUAUCCUUACGGAUGUGAAUACACCUCUACCUGAAAAUGGAUAGUUUAAUUAAAUGUUUAAUUUUUUCAAAUGUGUUUCUCUUAGGCCACUGAUGAAGAACAGGCGGUGACUGGGAUGAAUGCUGGUCAGAGAGGAGAAUCUUCUUUCCCCUAAACAGCAGUGGUUUUAAAGGAGGACGCUGCCCUGGAUGAUGUAGAAGAUGUCACAUGCUGUGCUGAUGGGGUUUCUUCAUGAUUACAUCAGUUAUGCUAAAGAGAUCAUGAAAAUUGACUGUGAUGCAUGAUCUGUAUUCAUGGACUAUGAAACAAACUGUAAGUGUAUAAUUUGUUAAAAAAAAAGUUAAAUGCUUUUUCUGUGUUGUUUAGUAGAAGAGUUUACACUCUGUCAUUCAUACACCUGCUCACAUUCUUUCACACACACACACACAAAUGCGUCUGUUGAAUGUUAUAAUAUCAAAGUUAAUGUUGUGAUUUAUUUGUGUACUGUCAUGCCAGAAUAGGUGGAAAAAAACCUAACUAACUGUAAAUUUAUUGUAUGUGUUUUCGUAUAUUUUUAUACAAUAUAUACAAUUGAACAAAGUCCAAUUUGAUCUUAAGUUAUAUUCAUCAAAUGUUCAAUGCUUGGUUUAUGAACUCUGUAGCUGUUAAUGCCAUCCUUUUCUGCAUUUCUUCUAACAUGUUACUUUUUGACUUUUCUCUUGUUUUUAAUAAAUAUUUUCCUUUUGGUAAUUAUUAUUUGUGUGUAAAAGUGAUAUUUAAAAUGAACAACAUUUGUAGGUUUAAUGCCUAGCUCAAUUUGGGUUAAUUUUAACGUAGAAAUGCAUUGUUUCCCCACAUGGCUGCACUCUGCGAGUUUAUUUUCUGCCAGCAGGAGGCGCUAAGAGCGGGAGAGGUAGGUUUCUCCGGUAACGGCUGCAGAGCGGUGCUGAGCUCACAAACGCUGCCUUAUCAAGCACAUGCGAAAUGAUAUCGAACAUUUUCUAAAUACAGUAGUUUUCCUUCUGUAAUACAGUGAUAAAAAACCACCCGCUCUGUUUUUUUUAAACCCUGCAAUAUAGUCAUUUUAAACCAUAAAAAAGGCAACCCAGCAGGCUGGGUUAAAUAUGAUAACCCAACUAAUGAUAACCCCUUUUUGACCCAGCGCUGGGUUGUCAAAAUAACCCAAAUUGGGUUGUUUUCAACCCAGCAGUUUUUAGAGUGCACACACACAUAUAUAUAUAUAUAUAUAUAUACACACACACACACACACACACAAAAUCAACCAACCUGUAACCGGAAAGUUUACAUUUACAACUGAUGAGUAGUUUACACUUUAGACUGUGGGUACAGAAAGCUUUGUAAGUUAUUUAUAACUUAAUCUACAGAACAUAGAUAAAAAUAUUAACAUCACUUAUUAAUCAUCUAUGAACACAUAGUCAUGUUUUGUGAAUGAUUAGUUUACCAGUUGUUAAUUACUUUUAUUACAUGGCUCUGUGGGUACUUGAUUCUGAUUGGUCAGUUGCGACAUUCCGAUGUAUGUUAUCCCUGGAUAACAACCUGUAAAAUGUAAUAACACAGGCUCAUCCGGGUAACAGCAGUUGGCGCUGUACUCUUGCUUGAACUAUUUUUUUCUUGGUGGAAGCUCUGCAUUUGUUUAGCUAAUAAAAUAUAAAAUCUUUAUUCAAAGUUGUGUACAAUUGUUUAAUUAUGUCAUCCUGGUUAGGUUUGGCCUGAUUGAAGAUGCCAUCGUCCAUCGCCGAUGGCUGAUAGACAUCACGAUGCUGCGCCGGACACAGCGUCAUCAGCUCCAGUAUCUCGCCCGUGCAUCUGUUGUCAUGCAACAGAGAAGUCACGUUCUAUAGACAGUUUCUAUAGACAGUUGUGAGGGUGCUGACAGCUGGUUGCCUAGGCUAUGGAUUAAAGGUAAUACUGUUGUAAGUAGUGUUCAUUUUCUCCUACAUACCGAUCAUUUUGCUUCAUUAGACCUCAAUGUAUUACCAGUAGCCACCGGUAUUGAUUUGGUCUUGUUUUUUUUUUUUUUUUUUUUCUGGACAUCCACACAGCACCACAGAAUCAACUAGAGAUCGACUGAUAGUGGAUUUUACCAAUAAUUUUGGACCACACUGGCCGAUACCGAUUUAUAAACCAAUAGUUUUUAAAAUGAAUACUGAACGAAAUGUAUACUGAACGAGAGCAGCGGUCUGCUGUCGCGCUGUGGGUUCCCGGGUUUGUGUCCAUUCUCGGACCAUUCCAUGUAUUUCAACUGUAGAAAAGGUUGUUCCGAGUCGAAACUGACUUCUUUCAUAUUUGUUGACCAAUAUACAGAAAACUAAAUCAGUAUAUCAUCAUAAACACAUACUUUUUUGUCUUACAUGAAUGUAAACAGAUGAACAGAUGAGAAAGAAAACAAACACGUACAGUAUUUUUGUUUAAAGAGACAACAGCCUAAUAAAUGCGUCUGUCAUUAAUGUUAAUCAAAGAACAAAAGAAACAAAAGAAAAACAUUCACUGAUCUCGACUGAAUAUAUUUAAUAACUUAGAGAUUGAUUAAUCUUCAUUUUAUUUAUAAAAAGAA